CUCUGAGCUAGCCUUAGGAUGUUUCUUAGCUAAGCGUUAUUAGUUUGGCUGGCUCACUCUUGGACAGAAAAAAAACAUAUUUAUGGUACUCCAAAUGUAGAAAAACCCAUGGCUUUUAUUUAAUACAUUUACAGUUUCUUGAGAUUACAAAACAUUUCACAGUUUCUAUCUGUAUGUAUAUUUAAAUUUCCUCUAAAUAUCUGAAAUCACACCAUCAGAAUCUAAGUUAGAUGAGAGCAGGAACCCUGACUAUUUCACUCACGUGUGUAGAGCCAAUGUCCCGUCUCCAGAGUAAAGAUUGGAUGGAAUGCAGAAUAUUGAAAUGGAAGGCAGAAUAUUGAAAUGGAAUGCAGAAUAUUGAAAUGGAAUGUAGAAUAUUGAAUGAAUCAAUCAAAGACUUUAACACUUCCAGCUACAGGCAGCUCAUUAUGGCUCAAAGCAGCCAGGCCUCAGAGUUCUUUUUUACAAUGAUUGGACUGUCAUCUCUUCCCACUUGUUUGUUCCAGUUUUAGCUCGUCAGGUCAUGUAGAUUUACUCUACCAUAUAACAAACCUUUAAAUACCUGAACUGAUACUCAUGCCCUACUUUCUCCACCUGACCUCUGAGGUUUGCCUCUGCAGACUAAUAUCCCUAGUUUUCUUUUCUUUUUUUUUUUUUUGAGACAGAGUCUUGCUGUGUCGUCCGGGCUGGACUGCAGUGGCGCCAUCUCGCCUCACUGCAAGCUCUGCCUCCCGGGUUCACUCCAUUCUCCUGCCUCAGCCUCCCGAGUAGCUGGGACUACAGGCACCCGCCACCACUCCCGGCUAAUUUUUUUGUAUUUUUAGUAGAGACAGGGUUUCACCGUGUUGGCCAGGAUGGUCUCGAUCUCCUCACCUCGUGAUCUGCCCGCCUUGGCCUCCCGAAGUGCUGGGCUAACAGGUGUGAGCCACCGCGCCUGGCCUAAUAUUCCUAGUUUUUUAACAAUUGACAUAGUUAUGAGUGUCUUGUGAUACUCUCAUAUGGUCCCUUCUGAGCACAUACCAGAUAGUCACCUUUACAUGGUACUCAGGAUGGUUCAUGGAAGGCCUGGUCUGUGUGGGAUUAUGAUCUUAUGCUUUCUAGAGUCUGUUCAUGCUCUUUGCUAUCAAAUUAACUUUUUCAUUUUUUUCGAGGAAACAUUGUUUUUUUCCAGUGCUUUAGGGAGAACCAUUUUAUUCUUAGUAAAACCCUGCCUCAGUGGAAGGCAAUUGAAGUGGGAGAUAAUUGUUAUCUUGGGGCUGGUAUGGUCUGCAAAUGGUUCCAUAUGUUGUGUCUUGCUUCCAGGUUGACUUAUUUGGAGGUUCAAGAUAAUUGACCACUAAGUCUGGUUCUGGAGAAGUUGGGUUUCCACAUGCCUUACAGUACAAGUGUGGCAAUUCAGGAGGUGAUCUAGAAGCAAGGUGUCCUUGCUCACGGAAGAAUGACAGCGGGAGAGAAGAUCGAAAUCACUGCCCAGGUUAAUAAAGCAAUAUGUGAGAUGACAGUCCAAGUUAGAAACCAGCCAAAGCUUGGAACGUGCUUCCUUGGGGAUUUCAUGUUCAUAUCAAUGACUGAUUUGGAAUUCGGAUUUGCCUUUGAAUGUUGGAGAGCAUGGAAUCAUGCAAGGAUCAGCAGACAGAUCCUGGGUGGUGAUCCGUGAUGUCCAGCUACACAAAAGAAAUGAAUGUCUUUUUUUCCCAAAAGAUGAUGUAUUACAAGAGUCACUACUAAAUCAGCAUCUACGUCAACCAAAUACAACCUCUAAAAGAAAAACAAAUAGGAUGAUAUUAAUCCUGGAGAGUUUUAUUUUGUUUAUAAUUUGGGAUAAUUAAGCUUUGAAGUUUCAUGUUUACUCUUUGAGGAAAGUGUGUCUGGGCUUUACCUCAUUUCCUCCAACCCUCUCUCCCUCUCUGCUCCAGAGACCCAGUGUUCUUUCAGCAACUUGAAAUGUGUUUUCUCUUCCACAGAGAAUAGCAAAUGCUAUUUCUACAAAUGGGAUUCUACCUCUCCCUCUCCCUCUCUUCCAGUCUCAUGUUCUGUUUCAUUUCCUCAGGGACUGCUGCUUUACGACUCCAUGGACUGGGUUGCACCCCCCAUUGCUCCCUCUGCCUUCUACUCUACUUUCCCAGUAUUCAAGACACUCAGAAUCCUCUUUAAUGCCUGUCUUUUUCUGAUUAUAAGCAACAUAAGAACCUGCCACACUGGUUUUAUUCACCAAUGGAUCUCUAGUGCCUUAUUACACAAUAAAUACUUUUUGACUAAGUAUUGUUUGAGGAAAAUGUUAUUUCCGGCACAGAGAAAAUAAUAGCAGAGGCAUGAAGAUAUGAAAGUGUGUGGCAUGUGUAAGGGAAUAUUAAAUUAAAAAUGGAUGUUUUCUUUAAGUAAAUGGUUAUCUCUUUCCUAUGUAACUUAAUUCAAC
Molecule: long non-coding RNA, 2416 nt
Filed under: Homo sapiens (human)
Lineage: Eukaryota; Metazoa; Chordata; Mammalia; Primates; Hominidae
Description: HSALNT0329295
Source: RNAcentral